This 806-nucleotide ribosomal RNA is filed under the name uncultured archaeon. RNAcentral describes it as "bacterial SSU rRNA". It matches the Rfam family "Archaeal small subunit ribosomal RNA", at positions 129 to 924 of the family's 1478-position model. The record is from RNAcentral.
ACCUCGGGAAACUGAGGAUAAUGUUUCAUAGUUGAAAAGGCUUGGAAAAGUUUUUCAAUCAAAAGGAUAAGAAAAAUGGUUUUUAUCCGCUAUAGGAUAGGAUCGUGGUCGAUUAUGGUUGUUGGUGAGGUAAUGGCUCACCAAGCCGAUAAUCGAUAGGGGCCGUGAGAGCGGGAGCCCCGAGAUGGGUACUGAGACAACGACCCAGGCCUUACGAGGCGCAGCAGGCGCGAAACCUCCGCAAUACACGAAAGUGUGACGGGGUUACCCAAAGUGUUCAAUUUUGAACUGUGGUAGGUGAGUAAUGUCCCCUACUAGAAAGGAGAGGGCAAGGCUGGUGCCAGCCGCCGCGGUAAAACCAGCUCUUCAAGUGGUCGGGAUAAUUAUUGGGCUUAAAGUGUCCGUAGCCGGUCUAGUAAGUUCCUGGUAAAAUCGGGUAGCUUAACUAUCUGUAUGCUAGGAAUACUGCUAAACUAGAGGGCGGGAGAGGUCUGAGGUACUACAGGGGUAGGGGUGAAAUCUUAUAAUCCUUGUAGGACCACCAGUGGCGAAGGCGUCAGACUGGAACGUGCCUGACGGUGAGGGACGAAAGCCAGGGGAGCGAACCGGAUUAGAUACCCGGGUAGUCCUGGCCGUAAACGAUGCAUACUAGGUGAUGGCAUGGCCAUGAGCCGUGUCAGUGCCGUAGGGAAACCGUUAAGUAUGCCGCCUGGGAAGUACGGUCGCAAGGCUAAAACUUAAAGGAAUUGGCGGGGGAGCACCACAAGGGGUGAAGCCUGCGGUUCAAUUGGAGUCAACGCCGGGAA